CUCCGAACAUUCCAACAUCAAAGAACCUAAGAGACGGGAAGCCGAGGUAAGCUCGGUUUCCGAGAGGGGAACAACCCAGACUAUAGUUAAGGUCCCUAAAUACUGACUAAGUGUGAAAGGGUGAAAAGUGUCUAUCGUCGAAGACAGCAAGGAGGUUGGCUUAGAAGCAGCCAUCCUUUAAAAAGUGCGUAACAUCUUACUCGUCAAGAUGAUAGGCCUUUAAAAUGGACGGGACUAAGUCAGUUACCGAUACUAUAGAAUGCUUAAAAAGCAAUUAGUAGGUAGGCGUCCUAUAAGGGCAGAAGUAUUUUCACAAGAGAAUAUGGACCUUAUAGAAAUGAGAAUCCUGGCGGUAGUAGGAUCUUAGUACUGUAAGAAUCAGUACCACUGAAAGGGCAAGGGUUCCUUGGCAAUGCAAAUCAGCCAAGGGUUAGUCGAACCUAACCUAACCCAUAAAUUGGGUUAAGGGAAAGGGACAAAGGUUAAUAUUCCUUUACUAUUCUAGUAUGCGUGGCAACACAAGCUUUAUUCUUGACAUUUCUGAUUAGGCUAAUGCAAAACGUCUUUUACAUCAACUGGAAUAAAUCAGGGGAGUAUCGUAAUGAUGAGAACCUGAUUAAAUCCGGGAUGAGCAUUCUUAUGGGAUGUUUAGCUGAUAUCUGGAAUCCGUGAAAAGAGAAUAGAGAAAAAACUGGAAUAUUCGUACCAAGAACCAGCACAGGUGCCCCUAGGUGAGAAGCCUAAAGUGUGUAGGAUUAAUCUAGUUGAGGGAAUUCGGCAAAUUAGCCCCGUGCCUUCGGUAGAAGGGGUCCCUGCAAUUGUUGUUAUGCAAUUGAUUGCAGGGUGCAAUAACUAGGGGGGUCCGACUGUUUAACAAAAACUUAACCGACUGCUAGCCUGUAAAGGUGUAUAUAGUCGGUGACACCUGCCCAGUGUCUGUACUUUAAACUUCCUUCCAAGGAAGCUAAGAGCAGGUAAACGGCGGGGGUAACUAUAACUCUCUUAAGGUGAAUUACAUUGCUUUAAGACCCAGGUUAAACAGAUACACAAAAGACGGGAUACAAAUUGGACUAAAUGCUGGAACUACUCAGAAUAUUAUGAUAGGAUUUUUCAUUGGCAACAAUGGAAUGACCCCUGAAAAUUCAUAAUUGGAGUAAAUCAGCAGGAAAGACUUCUCUUUGAGAAGUAUCCUCAGAGACUAUAUGUCCAACUCUUAAAUGAGAAGAUAUAGUCCGACCCUUGUAGCGAUACAAGGAAGCAAUCAGAAAUGAUUGUUCGCCAUCCAUGAUGGUUAGUACCUCGAUGGGAAGUAACAGUAGUGAACGUAAUACCUUGUCGUUUGAUUGACGACUUGCAUGAAUGGUGUAACGAGAUCCCCACUGUCCCCAAUUAGAAUCCUCCGAACACUCCAUACUGGUGCAAAGGCCAGUGAUCUCCAGUGGGAAGCGAAGACCCCGUGAAACUUUACUACAGCCUAUUGUUGCGAUGUGGGUUUUGAUGUGUAGUGUAGGUGGAAGUCGCUAAAGCUUGAUCGUCAGGUCAAGUGUAGACGUCAAUGAAACACCACUCUUCAAAACCUAUGUUGCUUAUUCCGUAAGGAAAACAGCGGUAGGUGGGUAGUUUGGCUGGGGUGGCACCCUGUUGAAACAAUAUCAACAGGACCCAAAGGUUGGCUCAUGCGGGUCAGGAAUCCGCAGUUGAGUGCAAGAGCAUAAGCCAGCCUGACUGUAUUCCUAACAAGAUUGAAUGCAGGCAUGAAAAUGUGGUCUAGCGAACCUCUAUGUCCUCAUUGAUUGGGGCUAGAGAUGAACGAAAAGUUACUCCGGGGAUAACAGAGUUGUCGCGCCUGAGAGUUCAUUGUUGCUUGCGAGUUCGUUCGCAAGCUCACGAACAGAUCGACGGCGCGGCUUGCUACAUCGAUGUCGGCUCUACCUAUCCUGGAAGUGCAGAAGCUUCCAAGGGUGCGGGUGUUCACCGAUUAAAAGGUAUCGUGAGCUGGGUUCAGAACGCUGUGAGGCAGUUUGUUUAAUAUCUAUUGGAGAUGUAUGAUGUCUGAAAGGAAGGAAGUCAUAGUACGAGAGGAACUGACUUUCGAAGCCGCUGGUGUACCUGUUAUCUGUUAAGGUAGGCAGGGCAGCUACGAUUUAAGGGAUAAGAGCUGAAAGCAUCUAAGCUCGAAACCCGCCUUGAAAA
Molecule: ribosomal RNA, 2193 nt
Filed under: marine metagenome
Description: bacterial LSU rRNA
Rfam family: Archaeal large subunit ribosomal RNA
Source: RNAcentral